Molecule: long non-coding RNA, 766 nt
Filed under: Populus trichocarpa (black cottonwood)
Lineage: Eukaryota; Viridiplantae; Streptophyta; Magnoliopsida; Malpighiales; Salicaceae
Description: long non-coding RNA (PTRI_LNC001532)
Source: RNAcentral
AUUUUAUGUUUUAUUUAGCUAUUACGAUUGCCAUCUUUUGUCAAUUGAUCAUCGUUUAAAGCGAAUUGGGAUAACGAGUUUUAUGGUUGUCAAUUGGAUCUGAACUAAUUCUUUUGUGCUAUGUUAUAACUAGUUUAGUCAACAAUUAAAAAUGUUACUAAAUUUUGACUUUGCUGAUCUGGCCUCUUAUUGAUUGUGAUUCCAAGUCAACGUCUUCCAUGUGUGUGUGUGUGUGUGUGUGUCGUUGAUUAUCCCUGUUGAUUUUGGCCAAAAAAUAUGUAACGACUCGAAAGUCAAAACAGUUUCUGAAAGUGUUGUGUGUCAUGCGUUCCUGCAUGCAUGUGUGCGUUUCGCUUGAUUCAUUUUCUGAAGAUGUGAAAUCAUUUUCAUCAGCUCUUUAUUCCAUAAUUGGGUCGUGUGAAGAUGAGGAAUCUAUGUAAUAUAAAUAGGGCACCUUCUGUUAUACAACCAAACAGCAACAUCUCUGGAUUAUUAAUUACUGUUUCUAUAAUUUAGAUUUGUAAAUAUCGAUUUUAACCACAAUUAUAAAGAAGUUUUGAAUCACCUUGAUUGAUGAAUGAUAAGAUUGGAGUCUACUUAAAAAAAAAUAUCAACAUUAAGAGUCUUUUGUCUGUCAAAUUUUGAUGACAAACCUGCCUUCUUAUCAAUGAAGCAGAAGGUUUAUGGAAUCAAAUUGUUGCUGAUAUAGAACCAUUCUAUUGUUCCGCACAUGUGGAGUGGAUGUAAUUGGUUUAAGGACAACUUA